GACGUGACUUCAGAGUUUGAUCCUGGCUCAGGAUUAACGCUGGCGGCGUGCAUAACACAUUCAAGUCGAACGGACUAAGGGGCUUCGGUCCUUUAGUUAGUGGCGGACGGGUGAGUAACGCGUGAGCAAUCUACCUUCCAGUACGGGAUAACAACCGGAAACAGUUGCUAAUACCGUAUGAAAUGGCAAUCUCGCAUGAGGUAACCAUCAAAGGUUUACUGCUGGAAGAUGAGCUUGCGUCCGAUUAGAUAGUUGGCGGGGUAACGGCCCACCAAGUCGACGAUCGGUAGCCGGACUGAGAGGUUGAACGGCCACAUUGGAACUGAGAUACGGUCCAG
Molecule: ribosomal RNA, 338 nt
Filed under: uncultured bacterium
Lineage: Bacteria
Description: bacterial SSU rRNA
Rfam family: Bacterial small subunit ribosomal RNA
Source: RNAcentral